Long non-coding RNA from Piliocolobus tephrosceles (Ugandan red Colobus), 1522 nucleotides. RefSeq lists it as uncharacterized. NCBI's taxonomy places the organism in Eukaryota, Metazoa, Chordata, Mammalia, Primates, Cercopithecidae. The record is from RefSeq and is a predicted model, not a curated record. The transcript has 3 exons.
AUAUGUACACACAUGCACACACGGAAUAUGUACACACAUGCACACAACAUGGCAUCCAGUCACAUACACCUGAUUGGAUAUGGAGUAAGCUGUGGUCAGAGUGAGGUGAGGUUGGUCAGAAAAAGCUUCCAAAUGGAAGAACUUCGUUGGUGUGAUUUUUCUGACCUUGAACCCAUGGCCCCAGGUAGGUGGAGAGGGCAGACUUCUGAACUGAGCAGGGACCUGCAGGAGCUUUUGCUCUCACUCAGGUACUGCUGGUUCCCUUCCCAGUGGCUCUUCUUCCCAUCUUCCCCCGAACACAAGGGCCUGGAUGGUUCAUGCUGGACAUCAUGUUAUAAGCCCAGCCUGUAUUUUGGAUUCUCCCUCUCCCUACCAUGUGUGUUUCUGGCCUUGUUGCUCCUCCUGGUUUUGGUGCAGGGUGCCUGUUCUCAAAGUGUGGUGCCAGGACUGCUCCUGUGCUGUGCGGUGACCGGGGUCCACGGCGCCCUCCCGUCAGCUCUCGGAUUUACUCAGGGUUCACGGAAGGUGUUGGGCACAGGAGGCAGAGCUCCGUGAAGCAGGGUCUGGUCAGAGUCUGAUGAGAGAUGUGCAGGAGUAGGAAAAGGCAAAGUCAUACACUGUGAGGUCACCCGAAGAAGACAAACGUGCAAAUAACAUGCAAAUAAUGAAUCCUGAGAGCUCCACUGCAGAAAUCCAGUGACCCCUGCUUCACGGCCGAGCCCCGAGACCGCCGCAGGGCCGACCCCAGGGGCGGAUGUGGGAUGCUGCGUUCAGCUGCCGAGAGUUGGAUGUGCCGACGUUUUUUGAUGGUACCUGCGCUAGACACAGGCAUGACGCAUCAAGUGGAAUUCACAGCCAGGAGUUUCCAGAGGGGACUUAUUACUGGUGGGUGCCUUUAAGGAGAGGUGGGAUAGCUUCUCCACAGCAAGACGCUCCGGGUGCGUUCUUUAGUUUUCAUGAGGGGAUAUCGGCCGCCUCCCUCGGUGCCACUGCUAAUAAAGGCAUAGACAUGAACGGCACAGAAACCUGCACCCCACCUUCUUCUCAGUGAGCAGGGGGUGCUCAGGGCACCCUAAAGGCGGAUGGAAACCAUCUCGGCUGUUGGAGGGGAAAGUGCUGAGCUGCCUGCGACCUGCACCCCACCUUCUUCUCAGUGAGCAGGGGGUGCUCAGGGCACCCUAAAGGCGGAUGGAAACCAUCUCGGGGGCGGCGCGGGGAGUGCCGAGCUACCCACGACCUGCACCCCAGGUUCUUCUCAGUGAGCAGGGGAUACUCAGGGCACCCUAAAGGCGGAUGAAAACCAUCUCGGCUGUUGGAGGGGAAAGUGCUGAGCUGCCCACAACCUGCACCCCAGGUUCUUCUCAGUGAGCAGGGGGUGCUCAGGGCACCCUAAAGGCUGAUGGAAACCAUCUCGAAGGGGGAGUGCCGAGCUGCCCACGACCUGCACGUCCAGGUCAGCACUUCCUGAUGCAGAAGGUGAAACGUCCUUCCUGAUCUCAAAAACUGUCAGUACCCCGACCCA